Molecule: ribosomal RNA, 297 nt
Filed under: uncultured bacterium
Lineage: Bacteria
Description: partial 16S ribosomal RNA
Rfam family: Bacterial small subunit ribosomal RNA
Source: RNAcentral
GGAUUAGAUACCCUGGUAGUCCUGGCCCUAAACGGUGCACGUUUGCUGUAAGAGGAAUCGACCCCUUUUGUGGCGAAGCUAACGCGUUAAACGUGCCGCCUGGGAAGUACGGCCGCAAGGUUAAAACUCAAAGAAAUUGACGGGGGCCUGCACAAGCGGUGGAGUAUGUGGCUUAAUUCGAUGCAACGCGAAGAACCUUACCUGGCCUUGACAUGCACAUAGUAGAAACCUGAAAGGGUGACGAGGUAGCAAUACCAGUGUGCACAGGUGCUGCAUGGCUGUCGUCAGCUCGUGCCG